GCGGCGGCGCCGUGGCGCUGCGGUGGAAAGGGCAGCCGGUGUCCUUCUGCUCGCUGUGGCCGCCGGCGUAGCAGCGGUAGCUGAGCUGGGAUACCGACGUCACAUCAUGGUUUUGAUGGCGACCGCACGUCCCGGGAUUGGUGGACGACGAGGCUGAUACGGUCACGUGUGACGCUCGCUCGCCGGGGAAAAGCAUAUGCCGUUUGCGGCAUGCACGUCUGCAGCUUUGACCGGAGAGCUGCUCGCCGGCCGCCGGAGCUGGGCGGCGGUCCGUCCGGCCGGUGGGAAGGACGUACGCGAAACGUAAGCGUGUGCGGCGGUGUAGUGCAAGCGCCUGGCUCCAGAUGCUGACUGCACAUACAAAAGAUGCUGACUGCCAGGCGUUUGCACUAGGAUAAUGGAGAUGGAGAUGGUAUAUACUCCGAAGGCAUGAAGACAGGUAUUUGCUCCAGGAAACUCAAGACAUGAUGGUUCCGUUUUGGACGAAAAAGAAAAGUAGCACCACUGUGUUAACCCAAUGCUUAGUAGGGCCUCCCGAAUGUAUGCACAUUGAAGUCGAAUAGCAAGAUGGGAUAGCUCGAGAGGCAAAGGGCAAGAUGUGCAGACGGCAGCAAUGUUCGAAUCUUCUGGAACAUGCAAGUCUACGGCAGGCGGCAACUAUCCGUAGACCUGAGAGGUGCAAGCCUGCUAUCCUGGAGGUCGUAAUGAACCCUAAAUCGAUUCUUCUAGCUGCUCCUGUGUAUUCAUUUCCCAUGUAAUGAACUCCUGACCCAAU
Long non-coding RNA from Hordeum vulgare subsp. vulgare (domesticated barley), 775 nucleotides. RefSeq lists it as uncharacterized. NCBI's taxonomy places the organism in Eukaryota, Viridiplantae, Streptophyta, Magnoliopsida, Poales, Poaceae. The transcript has 3 exons. The record is from RefSeq and is a predicted model, not a curated record.